UACGGGGGGGGCAAGCGUUGUUCGGAAUUACUGGGCGUAAAGGGCUCGUAGGCGGCCAACUAAGUCAAACGUGAAAUCCCUCGGCUUAACCGGGGAACUGCGCUUGAUACUGGAUGGCUUGAGAUUGGGAGAGGGAUGCGGAAUUCCUGGUGUAGCGGUGAAAUGCGUAGAUAUCUGGAGGAACACCGGUGGCGAAGGCGGCAUCCUGGACCGAUACUGACGCUGAGGAGCGAAAGCCAGGGGAGCAAACGGG
This 253-nucleotide ribosomal RNA is filed under the name uncultured bacterium. RNAcentral's name for it is "partial 16S ribosomal RNA". It matches the Rfam family "Bacterial small subunit ribosomal RNA", at positions 524 to 776 of the family's 1533-position model. The record is from RNAcentral.